This 279-nucleotide ribosomal RNA is filed under the name uncultured bacterium. RNAcentral describes it as "partial 16S ribosomal RNA". It matches the Rfam family "Bacterial small subunit ribosomal RNA", at positions 506 to 784 of the family's 1533-position model. The record is from RNAcentral.
UGCCAGCAGCCGCGGUAAUACGGAGGGGGCUAGCGUUGUUCGGAAUCACUGGGCGUAAAGCGCACGUAGGCGGACUGGACAGUUGGGGGUGAAAUCCCGAGGCUUAACCUCGGAACUGCCUCCAAUACUUCCAGUCUCGAGUUCGAGAGAGGUAAGUGGAAUUCCUAGUGUAGAGGUGAAAUUCGUAGAUAUUAGGAGGAUCACCAGAGGCGAAGGCGGCUUACUGGACAUAUACUGACGCUGAGGUGCGAAAGUGUGGGGAGCAAACAGGAUUAGAUA